Molecule: ribosomal RNA, 219 nt
Filed under: uncultured bacterium
Lineage: Bacteria
Description: partial 16S ribosomal RNA
Rfam family: Bacterial small subunit ribosomal RNA
Source: RNAcentral
UGGGACUGAGACACGGCCCAGACUCCUACGGGAGGCAGCAGUGGGGAAUUUUGGACAACGGGGGAAACCCUGAUCCAGCCAUGCCGCGUGUGUGAAGAAGGCCUUCGGGUUGUAAAGCUCUUUCGGCGGGGAAGAAAUCGCAUUCUCUAAUACAGGAUGUGGAUGACGGUACCCGAAUAAGAAGCACCGGCUAACUACGUGCCAGCAGCCGCGGUAAUA